Molecule: ribosomal RNA, 241 nt
Filed under: uncultured bacterium
Lineage: Bacteria
Description: partial 16S ribosomal RNA
Rfam family: Bacterial small subunit ribosomal RNA
Source: RNAcentral
GAUCAUGGCUCAGGAUGAACGCUGGCUACAGGCUUAACACAUGCAAGUCGAGGGGAAACGACAUCGAAAGCUUGCUUUUGAUGGGCGUCGACCGGCGCACGGGUGAGUAACGCGUAUCCAACCUGCCCAUCACUUGGGAAUAACCUUGCGAAAGUAAGACUAAUACCCAAUGAUAUCCCACGAAGGCAUCCGAAUGGGAUUAAAGAUUUAUCGGUGAUGGAUGGGGAGUGCGUCUGAUUAG